This 253-nucleotide ribosomal RNA is filed under the name uncultured bacterium. Its description in RNAcentral is "partial 16S ribosomal RNA". It matches the Rfam family "Bacterial small subunit ribosomal RNA", at positions 524 to 776 of the family's 1533-position model. The record is from RNAcentral.
UACGUAGGGACCAAGCGUUGUUCGGAUUUACUGGGCGUAAAGGGCGCGUAGGCGGCCUAGCAAGUCACUUGUGAAAUCUCCGGGCUUAACUCGGAACUGCCAAGUGAAACUGCUGGGCUAGAGUGCAGAAGGGGCAAUCGGAAUUCUUGGUGUAGCGGUGAAAUGCGUAGAUAUCAAGAGGAACACCUGAGGUGAAGACGGGUUGCUGGGCUGACACUGACGCUGAGGCGCGAAAGCCAGGGGAGCAAACAGG